RNAcentral lists this long non-coding RNA (4689 nucleotides) under Sus scrofa (pig). Its description in RNAcentral is "lncRNA (ENSSSCG00060049514.1)". Lineage: Eukaryota; Metazoa; Chordata; Mammalia; Artiodactyla; Suidae. The record is from RNAcentral.
AAUCUGACUAGGAACCAUGAGGUUGUGGGUUCAAUCCCUGGCCUUUCUCAGUGGGUUAAAGAUUUGGCAUUGCCAUGAGCUGUGGUAUAGGUUGCAGACGAGGCUCAGAUCUGGCGUUGCUGUGGCUGUGGUGUGGGCCGGCAGCAACAGCUCUGAUUAGACCCCUAGCCUGGGAACCUCCAUAUGCCAGUGGGUGUGGCCCUAAAAAGACAAAAUAAAUAAAUAAAUAAAUAAAAAUUUAAAAAGACAAAAACAUAAAACUAAAAAUAAAUAAAACAUCAUGUUUGAUUACAUCGCCUCUUCAACUGGGGGAGGGGAGCAAGAGGAGAGGAGGAAAGAAUGUUUUCCUCUGGUCAUUUUCUCCAGAAUAAAAUGCUAAUUCCUUGACCUUCAAAAAAGACAAAGGGGGAUGUGGAAUGAGUCUUCUUUCCCUCAUAAGCCAACUCGAAUUGAUCUGUGUUGACCAAAUGGAGCACAACAUGGGAAAGGACUCUAAGGCUGUAUCCAGAAUUCCUGGAAAGGAUGACCAGGAUCAGUUGGUCAAGUCUUUCAUGAGCAUUGGCAUCGGGCAAUAGGACACCCAUGCCUCCUAAGGGCAACCCCACUUCUGGGCCUUCCAUCCUUUGACCCAGCAUCACCUUUUAGCACUAAAACUCUCCAAUCUCUUGCUUAAAAAAAAAUACAGGAGACCACAAACCUGCUGUAUGGCCACCUACUUCUGUACUUUAUUCAUUCCUCCUCCCCGUAAUGAUUAAGCUACACAUCUGCAAAUUCAACCUAUUUCUCAAGGCCCUAUUUCUCAAUUCCAUCUCCUCCCUAGAAACAUACUUAUUUUCCCCAGAGCAAAAAAUAUCUCCCCGAAACUCCUUAAUUGGUAGCUCCGCUCUGAUUUCAAAGAAAGUUGCUUCCUUUCCAUAAGCAACUCAAUGGCAGGAGACAAACCAUAUGGCUUGUCCAGUAUUUUGCACGUGGUAGACAAAUAUUUGCCCGAUGAAUGAGUGGAUAUUCACAUGCAAUAUGUGUCCCUAAUAAGGAGGCCAUCCACCAGUUAUUUUUCAAUUAGGUUAAUAAUGCAAGUAUCACAAUUGAAUCAUUGGCUAAUUAUUAGCAAUCAAAGCUAUACAGAAAUGCAAGCUGAGUUCCAACUCACCUGCCCUUCCCCUUAUACUAAAGCCCUGGGAACUUUAUUAUUGAGCAUUCCAGUCAUUUCUCUCGCCGCUCCCUAAGAGCACAUGUGUGGAAAAUAAUUGAACCUCUCCAGGGCCUGGGCUCUACAGUGGCAGACAGCGAAGGCUUGGAGAGUUGUCUUGGCAGCACGACGCCAUUUGGGGAAUGUAUGCUCAUGUUGCUACAGAUGGCAUGUUGUUCAGUUUACCCCCUGCAAGUUCAUGUUUAUUGUUCUCCCUCUGGUUUUCCAAGAUGCAAAAAUUAGUUGACUCAGAGCACCACCAAAAUAAAAGUAAAAACAAUACAUACCCUAAGAACAUUAAAAGGAAGGUGGUGGAUGGUGAUCCUUGAGCCCUGUUUUAAGAACUGGUCAUCUCUUGAUGUCACCUGUGUGUGACUCAGGUGGUCCCCUAAUCUGAUUGAGUAUCAAAAUCUACCAGCGAAAUUUUUUUUCCCUGAAAAUGCGUGGAGAUUCCUGGGCCCCAUACUGAGGCCUCUGAAUUUCUGAUUUAUGUCGAUCUGGGAUGAGAGCUUGAAAUACAUACUUUAGAACAAUCUUACCAGGCGAUUCUGAUGUACAGAUGCGUUUGGAAGCCAAUGGUAUGGAGGAGGGGAUGUGCAGAGAACGAGGCCACUGUAAAGACCGAGAAGCACUGUGUUUGCCCAUCUGGCCUUGGAGCCUGUGUGCAAGGCUGCCUCUUGGUUCAGCAAGGCAGGGUGGUCUCUUCCAGGUGGGUUCUCCAAUUGAGUCUGCUAGAAGCAUCACCAGGAGACACUGCUAAUCAAGUAGAUUCCCAGGCCCAGGCCUCCUCAUUCUGGGUUAAUCAUCUUUGAGGAUCUGGGAAUUUGCGUGUCUAACACCCUUCAUGGAAACCUGAUGCACAUGUGUGUGUGUGUGGGGGGGGGGUUCCCCUGCCUUUACAGACUUGGGUCCAAGCCUAGCUUUGGAGUUGGCCAAUACCAGCACUGUGAGCCUUUAGGGAUGGCCCCAAGUCCCCCCUCCCACUGCUUCAGCACAGAAAGCAGUCUUCCUGACCCAACACCAUCAGUAGAAACAGCUGCGAUGUCUUGGUUUCUUGGCAUACACAGCUAUUGAGAGCCUUCCAUCCUGAAAGGCACAAGGACUUCCUUGCCUAAGGGAGCGAAACUUGGACCAGCGGCAAGUCUCUCUCUCACUCUCACCAAAUGAGACCUUGGGCUUUUGAGAAAGCAGGAGCUAUGCCUGUGUUCACCUCAUAUCCCAAACUGUUAAGGCUCUACCUCCUCUCUGACCACAGUCCGAGCAGCAGGAGAGAGAAUAAGAGCACCCCCACCCGGUGAGGGCCAGGGUGCUCCCUGCAGUGCUUUCUGAUCAGCAGCUGUGCUGGGCUCUUGUGUAAAGGUAGGUGUCCCUACCUGGAGCUCCAUGUCAUUUUGGCAGGCCUCGUGGUCCUGAGGCCCUGAAGACCCAAGCCCCUCUCCACCAGCAUCUCUGAACCUUCCUUCUAGGUGGCUGCCAGGCCACCCCUCUGGGCUCCCAGAACAGGUCUGCCGACCAAAGAGGUGGGCGGUGAGGGGUUAGAGGUGAUGCAGCCCUCAGGACCGAAGGUGUGCCUGAUGGACGCCUGGCCAGCAAAUAGCAUAGGGCAGCAUAAUGAGGGUGGGCCAGUUGUCAUGGCAACUCCCCACCCCUUCUAAAAGUCUGGCCACAGUGGGAACCAGUCUCAUUUCAGCUAUCCAAAGUGGGCUGUUUUUUCAGGAAUCAUGCUACAACCUCCUUUCCAUUCCAUGUCCCUGGUGGAUGAGCAUCCUUAAAACUCCUGGUAACCAUAAAAUCUUCCAUGCUUGAUGGACAGAAGCCUCUGGGUUGGCAGAGAGAUCUCCUGGCUUCGGCUGGGCUCCCGUGUUCACUGGCAGUCCCCUGAAGGUGGGGUGGGCAGCUGUCCUUAUCUUGGCUGGGUUCUCCCAUGUGUCUGCAGGUCAGCAGGUUGAAGGAUGAUUUAUGAUGUCCUCAAGCCAGCACAAAUGGCAACUGAUUCCUCCACGUGGCCACUAUUCUUCCGCUAGUGAAUAGCAUCAUCCUAUGUUUGUCUUCUGGGAGACAGGGUGCUGAAAGAGAGAAGAAUCAACCAAAGGUUCUUGAGGCCCAGCCUCUGAACAGGCCCCUUCAUUUCUGCCACAUUCUACUAGUCAAAGGAAGUCAUGGGACCAGUCCAGAUUUUCAAGGGCGGGGAAGAAAAUAGAUUCCUUCUCCUCAAGGAGAAAGAUGCAAGGCCAUAUUUAAAACCACACAUGGAUGUAGAGAAAGGAAGAAUUGGGGCCAUUUGGUAACAUUUUACCACAAUGCGGACAGGUUCGGUGUUGCAAAACCAUUCUCUUUAAAAGUCCCAUGGACUCACUUUGCAAUAUAUUACCAAUAUUAGAACAAAUUUCAAAUUAUGUUAAUGCCCAAUGAGUGAGUAAAGGAGUGAAUGAAGGAAUAAAUGAAUGACUUUAGUCCCUCAGACGCCACAUAUGGAUUGAGCACCCCCUCCCCCUGCGUCCCCUCCUUUGCAUAGUUCAGAGUUCCAGUCCCCACUCCUCCCUCCCAGAGUCCCACCACAUUGGAAGCUCCCGUGAUUCGAGACUCAGGGCUUUUCCAAGGCCAGCAGGGUGAAGUCAGGUCAGCAGGAAUGUGGUCCAGGCAUUGUAACCCAAUGCCAGGGAGAUGCCGCAAACCACACGGAGCUGGGCAGCCUAGGACUCCCCGCCCCGGGCUCCGUAGUCCCGGAAGUUGCUGAGCCUGGAGAAUAAGCACAGUGUCCUUUAUAAAAACAAGUGGCACCAGUGAGGCCAACCGGGGAACGUGGAACAUAAACAUGAAUUGUCCCUGGGAAAGUGAUCCUAACAACCGCCGCAGAGGAGAAGCUGUCAGGGAGGAGUUGUCAGUAGGUGGGGAACAGGGGGUCCUCUAGGGGGCACUCUAGAGCCUUCCGCACUCUGUCUCACUGGACUACAGGACUGCAGGCUUAACAGCUGUGUGAUUUCUAAUUUGCCCUCUUCCGUGUCUCACUGUUGAAUGGUUGUCUCCAUAUUCCAGUUGGGGACGUUAAUGUCCCCUGUUCACCAGGUGGAUGUAGGUUGUUGAUCCUGGGAGCGCGGGGUGGGGAGGGCUCCAUCUAAAAGGUAGGACCCCCUCAGUGCGCUAAGAGGCCAGGAACCUGGAGCUACCACACCCCCCUACAGGCUUGGAAACUGCCUCUUCUCCUCCCUCACUGUGCCCAUCCCGGUGGCACUCUUGCCUCUGGCGCCUAGCGGAACCCCCGGUUUUGGGUUUGGGUUUGGGGUUUCACUGGUAUAUCCUAAAAGCAUCCCGAGGAUUUGCUAGCUCUGAGUGGAGGCAGCGUCUCUCUUUCCUUUCCAAAAAGCCAGCAGGGGGAGCAGCAAAGCCCCUGGGCCUUGUUUUAAUUUUAUUUUUAACGUCUGUCUUUUGCAUACAUUAUACAUAAUCCCCUCAUCCCCCACAUGACUGUGAUCAAUUUGUUCUUUUAGGAAAUAAGACGG